Molecule: ribosomal RNA, 399 nt
Filed under: uncultured bacterium
Lineage: Bacteria
Description: bacterial SSU rRNA
Rfam family: Bacterial small subunit ribosomal RNA
Source: RNAcentral
GGGGAAUAUUGCACAAUGGGGGAAACCCUGAUGCAGCGACGCCGCGUGAGCGAAGAAGGCUUUCGGGUCGUAAAGCUCUGUCCUAAGGGAAGAUAGUGACGGUACCUUAGGAGGAAGCCCCGGCUAACUACGUGCCAGCAGCCGCGGUAAUACGUAGGGGGCGAGCGUUAUCCGGAAUUAUUGGGCGUAAAGGGUUCGCAGGUGGUCCUUUAAGUCAGGUGUGAAAGGCAGUGGCUCAACCAUUGCAAGCACUUGAAACUGAAGGACUUGAGUACAGGAGAGGAAAGCGGAAUUCCUAGUGUAGCGGUGAAAUGCGUAGAUAUUAGGAGGAACACCAGUGGCGAAGGCGGCUUUCUGGACUGAAACUGACACUGAGGAACGAAAGCGUGGGGAGCAAAC